This 253-nucleotide ribosomal RNA is filed under the name uncultured bacterium. RNAcentral's name for it is "partial 16S ribosomal RNA". It matches the Rfam family "Bacterial small subunit ribosomal RNA", at positions 524 to 776 of the family's 1533-position model. The record is from RNAcentral.
UACGUAGGUGACCAGCGUUGUCCGGAUUUACUGGGCGUAAAGAGCGCGCAGGCGGUCGUUCAAGUCGAGUGUGAAAGCCCCCGGCUCAACUGGGGAGGGUCAUUCGAUACUGAUCGACUUGAAGGCAGGAGAGGGAAGUGGAAUUCCCGGUGUAGUGGUGAAAUGCGUAGAGAUCGGGAGGAACACCUGUGGCGAAGGCGGCCACCUGGGCCGACCCUGACGCUGAGGCGCGAAGGCGUGGGGAGCGAACGGG